UACAGAGACCUCAAGCGUUACCCGGAAUCACUGGGCGUAAAGCGCACCGAAGGCGGCUGCGUGUGUGUUUUGUGAAAGCUCCAGGCCCAACCUGGAAACUGCAGAGCAAACUACGCAGCUACGAGGAAUGCAGGGGAAGCUGGAACUCACGGUGUAGCGGUGAAAUGCGUUGAUAUCGUGGGGAACACCAAACGCGAAGGCAGGCUUCUGGGCAUUACCUGACGCUGCUAGGGCGAAAGCGUGGGGAGCGAAUGGG
RNAcentral lists this ribosomal RNA (256 nucleotides) under uncultured bacterium. Its description in RNAcentral is "partial 16S ribosomal RNA". It matches the Rfam family "Bacterial small subunit ribosomal RNA", at positions 524 to 776 of the family's 1533-position model. The record is from RNAcentral.